GACGUAGGGCGCGAGCGUUGUCCGGAUUUAUUGGGCGUAAAGAGCUCGUAGGCGGCUUGUCGCGUCGACCGUGAAAACUCGCAGCUCAACUGCGAGCCUGCGGUCGAUACGGGCAGGCUAGAGUUCGGUAGGGGAGACUGGAAUUCCUGGUGUAGCGGUGAAAUGCGCAGAUAUCAGGAGGAACACCAAUUGCGAAGGCAGCUCGCUGGGACGUAACUGACGCUGAGACGCGAAAGCUAGGGGAGCGGACAGG
Molecule: ribosomal RNA, 253 nt
Filed under: uncultured bacterium
Lineage: Bacteria
Description: partial 16S ribosomal RNA
Rfam family: Bacterial small subunit ribosomal RNA
Source: RNAcentral